Molecule: ribosomal RNA, 428 nt
Filed under: Pseudomonas sp. Z1S-T4
Lineage: Bacteria; Pseudomonadati; Pseudomonadota; Gammaproteobacteria; Pseudomonadales; Pseudomonadaceae
Description: bacterial SSU rRNA
Rfam family: Bacterial small subunit ribosomal RNA
Source: RNAcentral
CUGGCGGCAGGCCUAACACAUGCAAGUCGAGCGGAUGAAGGGAGCUUGCUCCCUGAUUCAGCGGCGGACGGGUGAGUAAUGCCUAGGAAUCUGCCUGGUAGUGGGGGACAACGUCUCGAAAGGGACGCUAAUACCGCAUACGUCCUACGGGAGAAAGCAGGGGACCUUCGGGCCUUGCGCUAUCAGAUGAGCCUAGGUCGGAUUAGCUAGUUGGUGAGGUAAUGGCUCACCAAGGCGACGAUCCGUAACUGGUCUGAGAGGAUGAUCAGUCACACUGGAACUGAGACACGGUCCAGACUCCUACGGGAGGCAGCAGUGGGGAAUAUUGGACAAUGGGCGAAAGCCUGAUCCAGCCAUGCCGCGUGUGUGAAAGAAGGUCUUCGGAUUGUAAAGCACUUUAAGUUGGGAGGAAGGGCAUUACCUAAUAC